ACGAGAUCUCUACGGGGUCAGGAGCCCCUAGAACGUGUACUCUGCUUUGGCGUCUGGCAGUUGGGUCGCUACAAGAGUUAAGUUCUGAGCGACGGGAACUCAUAAAGGUUCGAACAGCUCUGUCGGGAGAUGGCGGGACUACGGCCGGUCCCCGCCCCGUUCGGUCUGCUGUAGGGGGGAUCCCCGUGCCUGCGGCUGCGAAGUUGCGAAUGCUAGGACCCUUAGGAGCAGCGGGAUCACCUCCGUUUAGCGCCGUGCAUGUAGCAGCAGGAUGUGUAGGGGCUGCAGGAACAUCACUAGCGGCAGAGAAUGAAGCUGGAGCCGAGCCCGCGGCACCGCUCUCUCUUGCGGCUGCGCAGUCGGCACUGUCGCUCCUCACUGUGCCUGCUACUGCGCAUGUGUCAACUGGACCGACACUGCUGGGAGCCUCCGCGUCCCUAGAUGGCGCUGCAUCGCUGGCGCCUGAAGCCACCAUGCAACCCGGAAGAAAGCCACUGUGGAUCGCUGCCAUGGCAACAGACGCUGUUUUCGGAAAAAAAAAAAAAAAUAAAAAGCAGAACCAGGAUUACUCAAACAGCUGCCAGAGUCCGGCGUGCGGGUGCUGAGGCCGCGCUCCAGGGCUGGGGGCUGCGCGCUGGGGCUGCCGCUGCGCCGGCUCGGCCGUGGGGGAGGCGGCGCUGGCAGCCACGGCAAAAGGCGGCAGGGGCACCUCGGCGGCAGAGGCACCUCAGCGACAGAGGCAACGCCGACAGCUACUUCUGCAGAGCCAGCCAGACUUCUGCGGGCAUCCCCGGGAGCUGCACGGCGCACGGAGCAGCCCGGGGAACAGCAGCUCGGCGGUGACUGACUUGCGGGGGAGUUGCCCCGCAGAAUCCAGGCAUGUCGGUAACUGAGAACAGAAAGCAGAAUCUCUCUCUCUUUAGUCCUUCUACUCACUUGUGGAUAACUUAAAACUAAAAGAUUGUGUUUUACUAAAAGUUAGCAUGCAAGAAAUUUUAAGAGUUUCCCAGAGAAUGAAUCUUUAUAUAAAAGCUUUAGUGAGUUGCCUUGGUUUUAGUCACAUUUUACCCCUGUAAAGAACUUCUGCCCAAAUUUCGUGUUCAGUCUUAGCAGGAGGAGACAUAAGGUUCACACAAUAGAGAUCAUUUGUUGCUUAGCAACUGGGUGGGACUCAAACCACCUCCAGCAGUUUCUCAGAACUAGGGAGAGAGUAGAACUUAUACACCAAAAA
This is a long non-coding RNA of Pseudopipra pipra, 1231 nucleotides long. RefSeq lists it as uncharacterized. The transcript is spliced from 2 exons. NCBI's taxonomy places the organism in Eukaryota, Metazoa, Chordata, Aves, Passeriformes, Pipridae. The record is from RefSeq and is a predicted model, not a curated record.